UCGCACGACGCCUCCCUCACAGUUUCCCGACUCUCGUUUUCCGCAAGGAAUGUCUACUGCAGGCCCCCCUCCCGGGCUUGUUGCACACAGUAUGCCGCCCCCGAGCCUGUAUCAGGACUUCGUUGUGUGCCGCAGUUGGAUCUACUGUGUACUCUCGCCGUCAUCUUGCCGACGGUACAGCCCAGCCGGGGGAACGAGUUUCGGAACUUAACCCUAGGCAAACGCCUGGUUCAAGUUUGCGCCAAGUUGCUCAGCCAUCUUCUAUGUCGGCCGAGUCCUCCACGAAGUCAUCUCCCGCUGAAAAGCGGCGUGGCCGACCUGGAGUCUCUACGACGGACCGUUGGUGCGAGCGAUCCAGUCACCCUCGUGGUGCGUGAGAAGAAGGAAGCCAUGAGCCGAUUUGAGAAGAGCCUCUGGUCUGAGGACGCUCGUCUGCCCUUCUGCUGGAACGUGGACGUUGGUCAAGAGUAGACCGUCUCUGGGACGCUGGCGACAAGGCAGGCACGAUCCGUCGUCGGCGGUGCGUGACGCCUGGAGGAGGACGCAGGGCUGGCCACAUACAGUCAGAGAUGUUCGUUUCAAACACCAACUUCAGAGUCUGCCCCGAAAAGGCUCCAGGCUGGCCCUGGAAGCUGGGAAAUCUCCUGGGUACAAACGGAAACGACCGAUUGACCUGACCAUCUGCCGCCCCGCACAGUUCUCGGCCCUCCAGACGUCAUCCAUGGCCACCGGGAAGCUCUCCGGGGUGCCGGUGAAAACCUGUCUAUUUGCUGCAGAAAUCCCGAGACCGCACCUGGGCAACUUGCCGUUGGUGCGUGAUGCAGUCGCAUCUGGUCUGACCAGGCGCAUUAGCUUUCCAUCGCCGGAUGCUUUCCGCGGUGCUUGAAAGACGCCAGCCCUUUGUCGGGCUCCUCUGGGGCCUGGCAACUUCCUCGACUUCCGUCGAGAUGACAGCGCGGUUUUUCUCGACGUCUUUUGUCCGUGCGGAAAUGCCCUCCUUGCCUGCUCGCUCUUCGCGGAGCCGCAUGAUGGAGAGGAAACAAAAACUAGUCCUUGUUGGCAGUGCAUUACAAACAGAAGGAGCUUCCGGUCUCGGCGUUUUGUGCGAAUGGCGAUGGUCGGCUUUCAAGCCCGAUUUCGGUCAUGUGUUGUAUACACGGUGUGUGUGAGGGCCUGGUGGUGGUUGAUACAGAGUUCGGAUUCCGCGAUUGACAGAGGAUCGGGGGGGACGCGCCAUGAUCAACGUCAGACACGGUGCCGGGACCCAUCUCGAGUUGGAGUCAAAGUUUCGUACUUGUCCGGCACUGCGGAUGAUGGGGGACAUGGCAAAUCCUCCGGGAGCCGCAUCAGCGUUGGGCCGCAAACUCGAAUUCUUGGACUUGAAGGGCAGGCCGUGCGACGGUAGCUCUGGUUGUCCUCGUGCCAGAAAUGGUGAGAGGACAACCCCCCAU
This 1451-nucleotide telomerase RNA is filed under the name Drechmeria coniospora. RNAcentral describes it as "Ascomycota telomerase RNA". It matches the Rfam family "Ascomycota telomerase RNA", at positions 208 to 1850 of the family's 1858-position model. The record is from Rfam by way of RNAcentral. Lineage: Eukaryota; Fungi; Ascomycota; Sordariomycetes; Hypocreales; Ophiocordycipitaceae.